UCCAAUUAUCGCGAGAGAGGCUUUCGGCACUCAUUGGCUGUGAGGGUUGAAUGUAAGAUGGCGCCCAGGGAGCUGUGAGGGGAAAAUCCUGUCGGUCUCGGAGCGGCGACGGCAGAACCGGGGCCCCGAGCGGUGCGGCGGGGCCGGCGGGUAGAACGGCGGCGGCGGCGGCGGCGGCGGCGACGUCGCCCGGAAUCUUAAGGACUCUGCAAUAUGAAUAAUUCCCUGGAGAACACCAUCUCCUUUGAAGAGUACAUCCGAGUGAAGGCGCGGUCUGUCCCGCAACACAGGAUGAAGGAAUUUCUGGACUCACUAGCCUCUAAGGGGCCAGAAGCCCUUCAGGAGUUCCAGCAGACAGCUACUACUACCAUGGUGUACCAACAGGGUGGGAACUGCAUUUACACAGACAGCACCGAAGUGGCCGGGUCUUUGCUAGAACUUGCCUGUCCAGUCACCACCAGUGUUCAGCCACAAACCCAGCAAGAACAGCAGAUCCAGGUUCAGCAGCCACAGCAGGUUCAGGUACAGGUGCAGGUACAACAGUCUCCGCAGCAGGUCUCGGCUCAGCAGCUCUCCCCACAACUCACCGUUCACCAGCCUGCAGAGCAGCCCAUCCAUGUCCAGGUGCAGAUCCAAGGCCAAGCAGCACAGCCGGCAGCCCCCUCCAUCCAGACCCCAUCUCUGCAGAGCCCUAGCCCUUCACAGCUUCAGGCGGCCCAGAUCCAGGUGCAGCACAUGCAGGCGGCCCAGCAGAUCCAGGCUGCAGAGAUCCCAGAGGAGCACAUCCCACAUCAGCAGAUCCAGGCUCAGCUGGUGGCUGGCCAGUCACUUGCUGGGGGUCAGCAGAUCCAAAUCCAGACUGUGGGUGCCCUUUCCCCACCACCGUCCCAGCAGGGCUCACCCCGGGAAGGGGAACGGCGAGUUGGCACGGCCAGUGUCCUCCAGCCAGUGAAGAAGCGCAAAGUGGACAUGCCCAUCACUGUGUCCUAUGCCAUCUCAGGGCAGCCAGUGGCUACCGUGCUGGCCAUUCCACAGGGCCAGCAGCAGAGUUACGUGUCUUUGAGGCCAGACUUACUGACAGUAGACAGUGCCCACCUAUACAGUGCCACUGGGACCAUUACUAGCCCUACGGGAGAAACUUGGACCAUCCCUGUUUACUCUGCCCAGCCCCGGGGGGACCCUCAACAGCAGAGCAUUACCCAUAUUGCCAUUCCCCAGGAAGCCUACAAUGCAGUUCAUGUCAGUGGCUCACCCACAGCCCUGACAGCUGUAAAGCUGGAGGAUGACAAGGAGAAGAUGGUGGGCACCACAUCUGUCGUGAAAAACUCCCAUGAAGAGGUAGUGCAGACCCUUGCAAACUCUCUCUUUCCAGCACAGUUCAUGAAUGGCAACAUCCACAUUCCAGUGGCUGUGCAAGCCGUGGCAGGCACAUACCAGAAUACAGCUCAGACUGUCCAUAUAUGGGACCCCCAGCAGCAGCCACAACAACAAACUCCCCAGGAACAGACACCACCGCCACCGCAGCAGCAGCAGCAGCAGCAGCAGCAGCUCCAGGUUACUUGUUCAGCUCAAACUGUCCAAGUAGCUGAAGUUGAACCACAGUCACAGCCACAGCCUUCCCCAGAACUUCUACUUCCAAAUUCUCUGAAACCAGAAGAAGGGCUUGAAGUAUGGAAAAACUGGGCACAGACCAAGAACGCUGAGCUAGAGAAGGAUGCUCAGAACAGACUGGCACCCAUUGGCAGGCGUCAACUGCUGCGAUUCCAGGAAGAUCUCAUCUCUUCUGCUGUGGCCGAGUUGAAUUAUGGGCUGUGUCUAAUGACACGGGAAGCUCGAAAUGGAGAAGGUGAACCCUAUGACCCAGAUGUGCUGUACUAUAUUUUCCUGUGUAUUCAAAAGUAUCUUUUCGAAAAUGGACGGGUUGAUGACAUUUUCUCUGAUCUUUAUUAUGUUCGAUUCACGGAGUGGCUGCAUGAAGUUCUGAAGGAUGUUCAGCCCCGAGUCACUCCACUUGGAAGUGCCACCCUCACUGCCUGCCUGGAGAAUCCUGAAACUCCUGUGGGAGGAUGCUGGUUGCUGCUGGUUUCACCAUGUCCUCGGUGCCUGGCACACAUAUACUUGGAUAUUGAUUGUUGAAUAACACAUGAAGGGGGCCUGGUGAUCACCCCAAGUGUCAUCUUCCUUUAGUGUAGUUCUGCUUGCCCAAGGCUCUUGAUCAAACCACUGCCCUUUGCCCCUUUCCACUUUUUAGUUAGCUUAUAAACACAAUAAAACUUGCUCUAUGGGAAAAACCUAUAAUAGAUCUUAAUACCAUUCUCCUCUUUAUCCAGAGGGGGCGAGGAUGGACUUGCUUUCUAGAGAUAGAAGACAUGAGAGAAGGUUUAACAAGGGCAAACAGGGGCAUGUAUACCAGUCUUUUGGGCAUGGACACCUUUGAAAAUAUGAUGGAAGCUCUUUACUCUCUUUUCAGGGAAGCAUGCAUGUGUACAGAAGUUUAUUUAUAGUUUUGAGCAUUUCAGUCUCUCUGAGGGCAGUCUUUUCACCCCAUAUUAUCCUGAGAUUAGAGGAAGAAUUAAUGUCAGGUAAGAGCAAUCAUAUAUGGCAGUGGUUCUCAAAGUAUACUCUUAAGAACUUGUUAGAAACACACAUUAUCAGGUCCUACCUCAGAAACUUGGGUUGGGACGCAUUGUUUAUGUUUUAACAAGCUUCUCAGAUGCUUCUGCCAUAUCCCAGGAAGACUUCUUCAGUUAAACUUGUUCUCCUGCGUGGUCCUUGUGCCUCACACCUCCAUCCUGCACCUUUGAGGGACUGCCUGCCAUCCUCUUGUUGUAGCAGUGCUCUAUUCCUCCUAGGCUAUGUCCUGCCCAGCCACGUGACUGAGGAGAUGCUGUGGGAGUGCAAGCAGCUUGGGGCUCACUCCCCUUCCACCUUGCUGACCACCCUCAUGUUCUUUAACACCAAAUACUUCCUCUUGAAGACAGUGGACCAGCACAUGAAGCUGGCCUUCUCCAAGGUCUUACGACAGACAAAGAAGAACCCCUCUAAUCCUAAGGAUAAAAGCACGAGUAUUCGGUACCUGAAGGCACUUGGGAUACACCAGACUGGCCAGAAAGUUACAGAUGACAUGUAUGCAGAACAAACGGAAAAUCCAGAGAAUCCCCUGAGAUGUCCUAUCAAGCUCUACGAUUUCUACCUCUUUAAAUGCCCUCAGAGUGUGAAAGGCCGGAAUGACACCUUUUACCUGACGCCAGAGCCGGUGGUGGCUCCCAACAGCCCAAUCUGGUACUCGGUCCAGCCUAUCAGCAGAGAGCAGAUGGGACAGAUGCUGACUCGAAUCCUGGUGAUACGAGAAAUUCAGGAGGCCAUAGCAGUGGCUAAUGCAAGCACCAUGCACUGAGAUCCCUCAGCCGUGGUUCAAGGGAGACGAUCCAGGAAAAAACGGACAGACUUUCACACUAAAGAAGAGGCCUCCAUUUUUUUCUUUUCUUUUUUAUUGGUGUAGUUAUGAAGCCUUUCAGACUGCUUCUGUUUAAAAUGUAAAAGGAAACUUUGCCCCCGUGCAUCUUCAUAAACCUGCUGUGGCAGACUCCUCAGCCCAUGGGGGCUCUGGGUUUCCUGAGAGCCAGAUGUUCUAGAAAGUUGCUGGCUGACUUUUUUUGUUUGGGGCCUGAGGAAAGGGCUUGGACUGUUAAGAGAAAUGUGGCCCCUUAUCCUUCCUCCAGAAAGAUGGAAUUAAUGAUGGAUGGACCCUACAGAGAGAUCUCUCCAGCUGGCUUCCAUUAUGACUGGCAGACAUUGCUGACCACAGGGGAGCGAGCCAUGGCCUUUUCUUUCUUCAUGCUCAGACAUAAACCUAGCAUCUUAAUGGAAGGAAAAUGAGGGGAACUUCAAUUAUGAUUUAUUAAAGACAAUUUCUAUUACACCCUUCUUUAUGACAAAUGACAUUUUAGAUGUUAAAGUAAAAACUUUACCUUUUUUUUUUUUUUGGUUUUUUUUUUUUGGUUUUUUUUUUUUGGCCUAACAUUGAGGCCUUAAACCUGAGGCUCCUGUGCCUGAUGGAAUUCUUGUAACAUACACUUGUGUAUCAUAUAAAGAUACCACUCUGUUUCUCUUAUGUAUUCUUAAUCUAGUUGUUUAUUAAGAAUGACAAGCACGUCUUUUCAACA
This is an RNA transcript of Sus scrofa (pig), 4166 nucleotides long. It is a transcript of the gene named glutamine rich 1, with no coding region annotated. The record is from RefSeq and is a predicted model, not a curated record. Lineage: Eukaryota; Metazoa; Chordata; Mammalia; Artiodactyla; Suidae.